RNAcentral lists this long non-coding RNA (812 nucleotides) under Coturnix japonica (Japanese quail). RNAcentral's name for it is "lncRNA (ENSCJPG00005012315.1)". Lineage: Eukaryota; Metazoa; Chordata; Aves; Galliformes; Phasianidae. The record is from RNAcentral.
CAGCAAAUUUGGAAACAGCAAAGCUGGUUUUUAAUUUCCCUCUCCCUGGCUGCUUCUUGCAAGGAGAAGCAGCAUGUUAUCAAUUUUCUCUUUUUUAUCACUAACAUUAAUCAUGUUUGAGAUCCUGUAUUAAAAGGUUAACAUAGAAAAGUGAGGAGCUGUGUAAUACAAGCUGUAGAAACAUUUAUGUUCUUAACUCAGUCCUGCGUCUACAAACUCUCCUAAACUACUAUUUUAAUUUCCUUUAACUUCUUUUCUGCCUUCAGUUUUCUCCCCCUCCUUUAGUAGCAGUCUUUACGUUCAAAGGAAGUGUUCUUUUUCUUUUGAUUGUAUCCCACUGGAAAACAAAUUGUAUUUUUCAACUGAGUUGAUGUGAACUUUUUUUUUUUUGCCUGACAACACCUUCCUGACUUGUACCUUGUGCUGAGAACCUGCUCACUUUUAUGCCGAUUGAAAUGACACUGGCAGCAGAGAUGCAGGAAUAUUUCACUGCAGCCAUUCCAGAGCUCUUCGAGACAACGUUUCUUGAAUAAUAACACGGUGCAAUUCAUGGAGUACAAAACAUGGAAAUACAAAGCAGCCUGGAAACCAAGUACCAGUGCAAGGAUGGAGAUUACAUCACUAACACAGCCAGCCAGAUGGAUGAUUUUAUCUCUGUCAUAGAUUUCAGGGGAUUCUGGAGCCAUUUUGCAAAGGAAGAAUCUGAAAAAUCUGGAAUUGGGAUCUACAGUUCUACUGCGUCGCUUUACAUAAUUAUGUACUGUUACCAAUGUGAUAAGGAGGGAAGGUAAAUAAACAUCAGAAAUUCUGAG